CGUGUAGGUGGUGGGGUAUGUCUGAUGUGAAAGCCCUCGGCUUAACUGAGGAACUGCAUCGGAAACUACCCGCUUGAGUGCGAGAGAGGGUGGCGGAAUUCCCAGAGUAGAGGUGAAAUUCGUAGAUACUGGGAGGAACACCGGAGGCGAAGGCGGCCACCUGGCUCGCUACUGACACUGAGACGCGAAAGCGUGGGGAUCAAACA
RNAcentral lists this ribosomal RNA (206 nucleotides) under uncultured bacterium. RNAcentral's name for it is "partial 16S ribosomal RNA". It matches the Rfam family "Bacterial small subunit ribosomal RNA", at positions 568 to 774 of the family's 1533-position model. The record is from RNAcentral.